UUUGCAAUGCUUUUGUGAUUAAUACUAUAUACACACCUCCUGCCUAGCCUAUAGUCUAGAAUAAACCACUUAUACUACGUUUGGCAUAUAUAUAGCUCUCCUUUCCCUGGUGUCUCCCCUAUUACACAAGUAGAUUAUUCAGCAUUCUAAAAACUAAAAGUAAAUAUUUGAUACGACAGAUUUAACAAACAAUCUAACAUCAAUUAUUAUAGCAACACACAAAUUAAUUCUCUCUCUCUCUCUUUUUUUAAACAGUUGAUCAAGAAAAUUUUCUUAUUCGGCGCCAUGUCAUUAUUCUAUGUGUUACUGUCAUCUUUACCCUUCCUCUUUCACUUUAUCGAAAUAUAUCAAAACUGGGAAAGGUAUCAUUUAUCUCUCUGAUUUUAACCAUCAUCAUCCUGAUUGUUGGAAUUAUAAGGGCAAUUACAUUCAGUGCACAAAUGUAAGUAAUCUCUCUCUCUCUCUCUCUCUCUUUCUCUCUCUUUUGAUGCCACAGAAGUUCUGAGAAGUACAGAAUCUUUAUGACUGGUAACAGACAGUAUUUUCUAGGGGAGGUGAAUGUGGUUUCAGAGAGAGUUUGCUUUGGUUGUUGUGCAUGUAUAGUUCUUUUCUGAGGUUUUGCACGUUUUUUAAAAAGUACAAACCCCUGCAAACCUAUUCAUCCGAGACAAAAGCGGGACAUGUCUAAAUAUUGCACUCAUCCCACCGCAGUUCUCUCAAAAUGACUGUCUGUCACAUCCCUUGCUUGCAAAUGCAGUCAUAAUCUCCCCCUGUACUGUGCAUCCAAAUAUUAUAUGUUGACUAAAGAUACUGAUUAGAGAUGGGAUGUAUGUAUGGGUCGCCUUGCAUUGCAGGGAGGUGGAGAAGUGCUGGCUGGGCUACGUUCAGGAUUUGCCGUGACAAGCAGGAUACCAGUCAUGCAUGCCGUCUGGCAAUCUAUCAGUGGGUAGGUUGGUUUGACGAGGCGGGACUGGGCCUCCCAGCCACCUGGGUCCAGGAUGUUCAUAUUCGUAUAUGAAUGCAAGUAUCCCGUCUCUAAUACUGAUACCCCAUGUAGUGUUGUGGAACAACGAUAGACUAG
RNAcentral lists this long non-coding RNA (1081 nucleotides) under Pogona vitticeps (central bearded dragon). Its description in RNAcentral is "lncRNA (ENSPVIG00000023995.1)". Lineage: Eukaryota; Metazoa; Chordata; Lepidosauria; Squamata; Agamidae. The record is from RNAcentral.